GAUGGACGCUGGCGGCGUGCCUAAUACAUGCAAGUCGAGCGAACAGACGAGGAGCUUGCUCCUCUGACGUUAGCGGCGGACGGGUGAGUAACACGUGGAUAACCUACCUAUAAGACUGGGAUAACUUCGGGAAACCGGAGCUAAUACCGGAUAAUAUAUUGAACCGCAUGGUUCAAUAGUGAAAGACGGUUUUGCUGUCACUUAUAGAUGGAUCCGCGCCGCAUUAGCUAGUUGGUAAGGUAACGGCUUACCAAGGCAACGAUGCGUAGCCGACCUGAGAGGGUGAUCGGCCACACUGGAACUGAGACACGGUCCAGACUCCUACGGGAGGCAGCAGUAGGGAAUCUUCCGCAAUGGGCGAAAGCUUGACGGAGCAACGCCGCGUGAGUGAUGAAGGCCUUCGGAUCGUAAAACUCUGUUAUUAGGGAAGAACAAAUGUGUAAGUAACUAUGCACGUCUUGACGGUACCUAAUCAGAAAGCCACGGCUAACUACGUG
This 497-nucleotide ribosomal RNA is filed under the name uncultured bacterium. RNAcentral describes it as "partial 16S ribosomal RNA". It matches the Rfam family "Bacterial small subunit ribosomal RNA", at positions 28 to 507 of the family's 1533-position model. The record is from RNAcentral.